AAGCCAGUGGUGAACUCCACAUACGCAUCCUUUGCUGAGGAUACGGUUAACGGAGCGAAAGCGACGUUCAACCUCAAAAGAAGCAGAGGGGGCUUAGUGGUGGGGUGACUGCGUACCUUUUGUAUAAUGGGUCAGCGACUUAUAUUCUGUAGCAAGGUUAACCGAAUAGGGGAGCCGGAGGGAAACCGAGUCUUAACCGGGCGUUAAGUUGCAGGGUAUAGACCCGAAACCCGGUGAUCUAGCCAUGGGCAGGUUGAAGGUUGGGUAACACUAACUGGAGGACCGAACCGACUAAUGUUGAAAAAUUAGCGGAUGACCUGUGGCUGGGGGUGAAAGGCCAAUCAAACCGGGAGAUAGCUGGUUCUCCCCGAAAGCUAUUUAGGUAGCGCCUCGUGAAUUCAUCUCCGGGGGUAGAGCACUGUUUCGGCUAGGGGGUCAUCCCGACUUACCAACCCGAUGCAAACUGCGAAUACCGGAGAAUGUUAUCACGGGAGACACACGGCGGGUGCUAACGUCCGUCGUGAAGAGGGAAACAACCCAGACCGCCAGCUAAGGUCCCAAAGUCAUGGUUAAGUGGGAAACGAUGUGGGAAGGCCCAGACAGCCAGGAUGUUGGCUUAGAAGCAGCCAUCAUUUAAAGAAAGCGUAAUAGCUCACUGGUCGAGUCGGCCUGCGCGGAAGAUGUAACGGGGCUAAACCAUGCACCGAAGCUGCGGCAGCGAACGUAUCACCCAAGACAACUUUACGGAGUUGGCGAUUGAUGGAGCGAAGCGACGUCAAAGCGUUCAUUAAAGUCGAGUUGGCUUAGGGAUACGUUCGUUGGGUAGGGGAGCGUUCUGUAAGCCUGUGAAGGUGGCCUGUGAGGGUUGCUGGAGGUAUCAGAAGUGCGAAUGCUGACAUAAGUAACGAUAAAGCGGGUGAAAAGCCCGCUCGCCGGAAGACCAAGGGUUCCUGUCCAACGUUAAUCGGGGCAGGGUGAGUCGACCCCUAAGGCGAGGCCGAAAGGCGUAGUCGAUGGGAAACGGGUUAAUAUUCCCGUACUUGGUGUUACUGCGAAGGGGGGACGGAGAAGGCUAUGUUGGCCGGGCGACGGUUGUCCCGGUUUAAGCGUGUAGGUGUGUGUUCCAGGUAAAUCCGGUUCACUUUAACACUGAGGCGUGACGACGAGGCACUACGGUGCUGAAGCAACAAAUGCCCUGCUUCCAGGAAAAGCCUCUAAGCAUCAGGUAACAUCAAAUCGUACCCCAAACCGACACAGGUGGUCAGGUAGAGAAUACCAAGGCGCUUGAGAGAACUCGGGUGAAGGAACUAGGCAAAAUGGUGCCGUAACUUCGGGAGAAGGCACGCUGACACGUAGGUGAAGUGAUUUACUCA
This 1373-nucleotide ribosomal RNA is filed under the name Salmonella enterica. RNAcentral's name for it is "partial 23S ribosomal RNA". It matches the Rfam family "Bacterial large subunit ribosomal RNA", at positions 568 to 1773 of the family's 2925-position model. The record is from RNAcentral. Lineage: Bacteria; Pseudomonadati; Pseudomonadota; Gammaproteobacteria; Enterobacterales; Enterobacteriaceae.